Molecule: ribosomal RNA, 564 nt
Filed under: uncultured Paecilomyces
Lineage: Eukaryota; Fungi; Ascomycota; Eurotiomycetes; Eurotiales; Thermoascaceae
Description: LSU rRNA
Rfam family: Eukaryotic large subunit ribosomal RNA
Source: RNAcentral
CAUAAGCGGAGGAAAAGAAACCAACAGGGAUUGCCCCAGUAACGGCGAGUGAAGCGGCAACAGCUCAAAUGUGAAAUCUGGCCCCCCAGGGCCCGAGUUGUAAUUUGCAGAGGAUGCUUUUGGCGCGGUGCCUUCCGAGUUCCCUGGAACGGGACGCCAUAGAGGGUGAGAGCCCCGGUCUGGGUCGGACGACCUAGACCUGUGUAAAGCUCCUUCGACGAGUCGAGUAGUUUGGGAAUGCUGCUCUAAAUGGGAGGUAUAUGUCUUCUAAAGAUAAAUACCGGCCAGAGACCGAUAGCGCACAAGUAGAGUGAUCGAAAGAUGAAAAGCACUUUGAAAAGAGGGUUAAAUAGUACGUGAAUUUGUUGAAAGGGAAGCGCUUGUGACCAGACUUGGGCCCGGUGGAUCAUCCAGCGUUCUCGCUGGUGCACUCCGCCGGGUNCAGGCAGCAUCAGUUCGCCGCGGGGAAAAGGCUUCGGAACUGGCUCUACGAGUGUAUAGCCGUGCUAUACCGGGCGACGAGUCCCCCAGUCGCUAUGCCCACUUACCAAAAUCUGCCUCUGA